AAAAAUAAUUCCAUAACGACCAAACCGAAAAAAGUUGUCUCAUUGAUUAUUGUUAUUGUAAACCCAAACACAAAACACAAACAACAUAAGAAGUAUCGCCUUCUCCCACUAUUCAUUCAUUCAUAUUUGGCUUUUUCUUCUCUCAAACCCCAAUCUCAUUCAUUCAUUCCUCUUAUUACUACUACCAACAAUAACAACUCCCUCUUUCUUUUCCCUUCAUUGACGAUCUCCACGAAGCUAGAGAGCCCUUAUAAUUUCAACAACCCUUUCUCUUUCUAUCACCCAUUUUUCCUCUUUCUCUUUCUCUCUCUCCUUGGUUUUGGAUCUUCAAUUUCUCAUUCACUGAUUUUGGUGAUUUGA
This is a non-coding RNA of Vicia faba (fava bean), 360 nucleotides long. The record is from the annotation of a GenBank genome assembly. NCBI's taxonomy places the organism in Eukaryota, Viridiplantae, Streptophyta, Magnoliopsida, Fabales, Fabaceae.